This 371-nucleotide ribosomal RNA is filed under the name uncultured bacterium. RNAcentral's name for it is "bacterial SSU rRNA". It matches the Rfam family "Bacterial small subunit ribosomal RNA", at positions 527 to 896 of the family's 1533-position model. The record is from RNAcentral.
AGAGACUGCAAGCGUUAUUCGGAUUCACUGGGCGUAAAGGGUGCGCAGGCGGCCGUAUGUGUGAGGCGUGAAAGCCCGGGGCUUAACCCCGGAAUUGCACCUCAAACUAUACGGCUAGAGCACUGGAGAGGGUAGCAGAAUUCAUGGUGUAGCAGUGAAAUGCGUAGAUAUCAUGAGGAAUACCAGAGGCGAAGGCGGCUACCUGGACAAUUGCUGACGCUCAGGCACGAAAGCGUGGGGAGCAAAAGGGAUUAGAUACCCCUGUAGUCCACGCCCUAAACGGUGCACACUAGGUCUUGGCGGAUUCGACCCCACCAGGGCCCAAGCUAACGCGUUAAGUGUGCCGCCUGAGGACUACGGUCGCAAGACUA